UUUCCACCCAUCGCAUUUUGAAUUCUACCAGUAGGUCUCCAUUGUGAAUGUCCCCUUUUUUACGCUACCCAAACAAAUGCACAAAACAAUCAAAUUUUACCCUUCAAAUUUUUUUAAAAUUUGACUAUCGCCAAAGAAAUAAUGUAAACUUCAAAAACACACAUUUUGUUGUUUUCUACUGCGAAUACACAGGCGAUGGAACCGAGUCGCACACGAGUUUGCAUUUGCUAUUUGAUAUCGACACUCCUAAUUACCUUCUUCAUCUACAUACUAGUUUCGAGCAAUUUGGAAAACAAUCGGAAACUCAGCAGACUGCGCGAGGAUGUGGAUGAGAUUGCGCAUGUUGUGCUGCAUACCGUGCCAGGACAGGGUGACACAAAGCAUUUAAAUGAAAUCGUUGAUGGCAUUUUGAAGAAACGGCUUGCCGGUAUCUGGGAUGAUUUGUAUGCGAUGAAAAAACAGUUACGACUCAGCGAGUGUAUGGGGCGUUCAACGGGGUCUGCACAGAGCACGGCCGAGGGUGGUGAGGGUGCGCUAAUGGAACGUUCAAUGCCAGCACGUGUCAACUAUGCGGCGGAGGAGUUGGGCGCAAAGGUGCUAGAUGUGAAAGCGGAGCCGAUUGAUGGUGGAAAUGUGGUGAGAACGGCGCUGGGGUUAAAAUACAGCGCGAACCCGCCCAUAAAUAUGUUAAAGCCAGGCAUGGAGCCGGGUAAUUGCUUCGCUUUCAAGCGCGUCAAUGCGGUAGUCACCAUUAAAUUGGCGCAGGCGAUAUAUGUGGAGAGUUUUGAGUUGGAGCACCUUUGCAAAGGAAAUGCGCCCAACAAUGACACAACGAGUGCGCCAAAGGACUUUGAAGUUUAUGGCAUCAUGGCCACUUCCUGGAAGGAAUUCAAAAUGGGAGAAUAUACUUAUACAAAUCAACAACCACUUACGCAAAAUUUCGCAGUGAAGUGUGAGAAUAAAUAUCUUUACAUGCGUUUCAAGUUCAAGUCGAAUCAUGGACAUCUGGAAUACACCUGCGUUUAUCGCGUGGCAGUCUAUGGUCGUAGUCAGAAGUAAAGAGGGCGCUUUGGGUCUCCUAUUUCGUGCGUAUUUUUUCGAGAACGCUGCUGGGUAGGCAUUUUAUUGUGUAUAUCGUGCAUUUUGUACAUAACGGUGUAUUUAUUAAAUGGAUUUUUUUUAUAACUGAGAAAAAACUUUACUCAAAAAUUGUUUACAUAAGUGCCAUGUGAAUUGUAUUUGUAAUAGUUUUUUUUUAAUUUAUUCUGUUAAAAUAUAUUAAAUGAUGAUUUUAAUUUAAUAAUGAUUUAUCGAGGCAUGGCAUGAAAUAAAAGUGCUUUAUGUUUACCCAAGAUAACUUGCCAGAAAUUUCGAGAGGGCCUCUUUCCAAAAUUAUCGAUCUAAGACAAAGCCACACUAACCUAACUUUGGGUUUUUAGAAAGCUUCGGUGUAUUGUCGCUUAU
RNA transcript from Anastrepha ludens (Mexican fruit fly), 1464 nucleotides. It is a transcript of the gene named SUN domain-containing protein 3, with no coding region annotated. The transcript has 6 exons. Lineage: Eukaryota; Metazoa; Arthropoda; Insecta; Diptera; Tephritidae. The record is from RefSeq and is a predicted model, not a curated record.